UGGGGAAUAUUGCACAAUGGAGGAAACUCUGAUGCAGCAACGCCGCGUGAAGGAAGAAGGCCUUCGGGUUGUAAACUUCUGUUUUUGGGGAAGAAUAAAUGACGGUACCCAAGGAGGAAGCCACGGCUAACUACGUGCCAGCAGCCGCGGUAAUACGUAGGUGGCAAGCGUUGUCCGGAAUUACUGGGUGUAAAGGGUGCGUAGGCGGGUGAUCAAGUCAGGUGUGAAAUACCACGGCUCAACUGUGGGGGUGCACUUGAAACUGAACAUCUUGAGUGAGGUAGAGGUAAGCGGAAUUCCAAGUGUAGCGGUGAAAUGCGUAGAUAUUUGGAGGAACACCAGUGGCGAAGGCGGCUUACUGGGCUUUAACUGACGCUGAAGCACGAAAGCAUGGGGAGCAAACAG
This 405-nucleotide ribosomal RNA is filed under the name uncultured bacterium. RNAcentral describes it as "bacterial SSU rRNA". It matches the Rfam family "Bacterial small subunit ribosomal RNA", at positions 355 to 775 of the family's 1533-position model. The record is from RNAcentral.